This 500-nucleotide ribosomal RNA is filed under the name uncultured bacterium. RNAcentral describes it as "partial 16S ribosomal RNA". It matches the Rfam family "Bacterial small subunit ribosomal RNA", at positions 30 to 523 of the family's 1533-position model. The record is from RNAcentral.
AUUGAACGCUGGCGGCAGGCCUAACACAUGCAAGUCGAGCGGAUGAAGAGAGCUUGCUCUCUGAUUCAGCGGCGGACGGGUGAGUAAUGCCUAGGAAUCUGCCUGGUAGUGGGGGACAACGUUUCGAAAGGAACGCUAAUACCGCAUACGUCCUACGAGAGAAAGUGGGGGAUCUUCGGACCUCACGCUAUCAGAUGAGCCUAGGUACGAUUAGCUAGUUGGUGUGGUAAAGGCUCACCAAGGCGACGAUCGUUAACUGGUCUGAGAGGAUGAUCAGUCACACUGGAACUGAGACACGGUCCAGACUCCUACGGGAGGCAGCAGUGGGGAAUAUUGGACAAUGGGCGAAAGCCUGAUCCAGCCAUGCCGCGUGUGUGAAGAAGGUCUUCGGAUUGUAAAGCACUUUAAGUUGGGAGGAAGGGCAGUAAGUUAAUACCUUGCUGUUUUGACGUUACCGACAGAAUAAGCCCCGGCUAACUCCGUGCCAGCAGCCGCCGUAA